Molecule: ribosomal RNA, 497 nt
Filed under: uncultured bacterium
Lineage: Bacteria
Description: partial 16S ribosomal RNA
Rfam family: Bacterial small subunit ribosomal RNA
Source: RNAcentral
GAUGAACGCUGGCGGCGUGCCUAAUACAUGCAAGUCGAGCGAACAGACGAGGAGCUUGCUCCUCUGACGUUAGCGGCGGACGGGUGAGUAACACGUGGAUAACCUACCUAUAAGACUGGGAUAACUUCGGGAAACCGGAGCUAAUACCGGAUAAUAUAUUGAACCGCAUGGUUCAAUAGUGAAAGACGGUUUUGCUGUCACUUAUAGAUGGAUCCGCGCCGCAUUAGCUAGUUGGUAAGGUAACGGCUUACCAAGGCAACGAUGCGUAGCCGACCUGAGAGGGUGAUCGGCCACACUGGAACUGAGACACGGUCCAGACGCCUACGGGAGGCAGCAGUAGGGAAUCUGCCGCAAUGGGCGAAAGCCUGACGGAGCAACGCCGCGUGAGUGAUGGAGGUCUUCGGAUCGUAAAGCUCUGUUAUUAGGGAAGAACAAAUGUGUAAGUAACUAUGCACGUCUUGACGGUACCGAAUCAGAAAGCCACGGCUAACUACGUG